AAUCAUAUUAAUAUUUUUGGAUUUUUUUUGUAUUUCUAUAUUCACCAUGUAAACCAAAACACCUAGGUUUUUCUCUCCUUCCCUAGCUCCUAUGAUUGAUGCAACCGACAAAAAUCUUGGCUUAAUUAUAGUGGCACCAGCAUGUUGCAUGACCCCAAGCAUAACAGGUGUAUAUACCUAGUUUACAUAAUAAUAGUCGUCCACACAACACAUCUAGAAUAGAA
This 224-nucleotide long non-coding RNA is filed under the name Sorghum bicolor (sorghum). RNAcentral describes it as "long non-coding RNA (SBIC_LNC014269)". The record is from RNAcentral. Lineage: Eukaryota; Viridiplantae; Streptophyta; Magnoliopsida; Poales; Poaceae.